RNAcentral lists this unclassified non-coding RNA (209 nucleotides) under Hevea brasiliensis (rubber tree). Lineage: Eukaryota; Viridiplantae; Streptophyta; Magnoliopsida; Malpighiales; Euphorbiaceae. The record is from RNAcentral.
CCAAUUCACGGCUGCCGGAAUCUUACCUGCCACCGCUUUCAAUUCCAAUUAUCAUCAAGCUAGCUCUCACAGAAUUUCUUUUUCUUGCUUGCUUCUUUGGCCUUAAAAUAAUUAAAAACUUACUCUUUCUCACCCGGCUAGAUAAUUAAAAACUUACUCUUUCUCACCCGGCUAGAUAAUUAAAAACUUACUCUUUCUCACCCGGCUAG